This 460-nucleotide ribosomal RNA is filed under the name uncultured bacterium. Its description in RNAcentral is "partial 16S ribosomal RNA". It matches the Rfam family "Bacterial small subunit ribosomal RNA", at positions 338 to 795 of the family's 1533-position model. The record is from RNAcentral.
CCUACGGGUGGCAGCAGUGAGGAAUAUUGGUCAAUGGCCGCGAGCCUGAACCAGCCAAGUCGCGUGAGGGAUGACGGUCCUAUGGAUUGUAAACCUCUUUUAUCAGGGAACAAAGUGCGCCACGUGUGCCUUUUUGCGCGUACCUUACGAAAAAGCAUCGGCUAACUCCGUGCCAGCAGCCGCGGUAAUACGGAGGAUGCGAGCGUUAUCCGGAUUUAUUGGGUUUAAAGGGUGCGCAGGCGGAAUGUCAAGUCAGCUGUGAAAGUCCGCGGCUCAACCGUGGAAUUGCAGUUGAAACUGGAGGCCUGGAGUGCACAUAGGGAUGCCGGAAUUCAUGGUGUAGCGGUGAAAUGCUUAGAUAUCAUGAAGAACUCCGAUUGCGAAGGCAAGCUACCGGGGUGCAACUGACGCUGAGGCUCGAAAGUGUGGGUAUCAAACAGGAUUAGGUACCCGUGUAGUC